CGGUCCCCUGGGUCCCCGGCCUGGAGAGUCCCAUUCCAAGGGCGUGGGAGGGCGCCCGGGAAUCUGUAUUGUUCACACACAAACCCAGAUGCUUCUCUGGAUCAGGCAAGUUUGGGAAGCAUCGCCAUGCGCUCUUUCCUGGGUCCAGGCCAUGGGAAGGAAACGGGAGUCAACCCGCCCCCGGAAACCUGAAGCACUGCGUCAGAACCGAACGCCCGGAGCCGCCCGCCCCUGAGUCCAGGCUGAUUCCUCAGGCCGCCGCCGUCCGGGUCGGUUUUGAGACGUGGGCGGUGGACCGCUUCUCAGACCCGCCACCCGCCUCCUGCAGGGAUCUUCCUCCUCCCGGGCUAAGGCUCAGGCUGGCUCCUGCCAGCACAGCGCGCGCGCACACGGGGGAAAGCUUUGAAAAAAUGACGGCGUAGACGAGCUCACCGGCGGCGGGGCUGCGGAGCGGUUGGAGUUGACUCCCUGCAGCAGGGAAUCCCUCGGUCCCACGCCCGCUCCCCGCCCGCAAGCUGCGGCACUGAAGGCCAGGGACGAGGGCAGCGAGCGCGCCGCCCGAGUUGUAGAUCUUAGUUGCAGGUCGUUCUAGUUGUGGGAUGUGGGACGCCGCCUCAACGUGGCCUGACGAGCGGUGCCAUGUCCGCAACCAGGAUCCGAACCCUGGGCCGCCACAGCAGAGCGCGUGAACUUAGCCUCUCGGCCACGGAGCCGGCCCCUAGACACGUUUUGAUUGGUGUAUAUGUAUGUGUUUCACUUUCCAAAUACUUGGAAUAAGGUCAAUUAUCUUUGUUAUUGAUCUCUGGUUUUGGUGCACUGCUGUCAAAGA
RNAcentral lists this long non-coding RNA (829 nucleotides) under Equus asinus (donkey). Its description in RNAcentral is "lncRNA (ENSEASG00005032737.1)". Lineage: Eukaryota; Metazoa; Chordata; Mammalia; Perissodactyla; Equidae. The record is from RNAcentral.